AAAGCUCCGGCGCCUAAGGAUGGGUCUGCGGCCUAUCAGGUAGUAGUGGGUGUAGCGUACCUACUAGCCUACGACGGGUACGGGUUGUGAGAGCAAGAGCCCGAAGAUGGAUUCUGAGACACGAAUCCAGGCCCUACGGGGUGCAGCAGGCGCGAAAACUUUACAAUGCUGGAAACAGCGAUAAGGGGACCUCGAGUGCCAGGUUACAAAUCUGGCUGUCGUGAUGCCUAAAAAGCAUCGCAUAGCAAGGGCCGGGCAAGACCGGUGCCAGCCGCCGCGGUAACACCGGCGGCUCGAGUGGUAACCGUUAUUAUUGGGUCUAAAGGGUCUGUAGCCGGCCGGAUAAGUCUCUUGGGAAAUCUGGCAGCUUAACUGUCAGGCUUUCAGGAGAUACUGUCUGGCUCGAGGCCGGGAGGGGUGAGAGGUACUUCAGGGGUAGGGGUGAAAUCUUGUAAUCCUUGAAGGACCACCAGUGGCGAAGGCGUCUCACCAGAACGGACCUGACGGCAAGGGACGAAAGCUAGGGGCACGAACCGGAUUAGAUACCCGGGUAGUCCUAGCCGUAAACGAUACUCGCUAGGUGUCGGCAACGGUGCGACCGUUGUCGGUGCCGUAGGGAAGCCGUGAAGCGAGCCACCUGGGAAGUACGGCCGCAAGGCUGAAACUUAA
Molecule: ribosomal RNA, 669 nt
Filed under: uncultured Methanotrichaceae archaeon
Lineage: Archaea; Methanobacteriati; Methanobacteriota; Methanomicrobia; Methanotrichales; Methanotrichaceae
Description: SSU rRNA
Rfam family: Archaeal small subunit ribosomal RNA
Source: RNAcentral